ACGUAGGCGGCAAGCGUUGUCCGGAAUUAUUGGGCGUAAAGGGAGCGCAGGCGGGAAACUAAGCGGAUCUUAAAAGUGCGGGGCUCAACCCCGUGAUGGGGUCCGAACUGGUUUUCUUGAGUGCAGGAGAGGAAAGCGGAAUUCCCAGUGUAGCGCUGAAAUGCGUAGAUACUGGGAAGAACACCAGUGGCGAAGGCGGCUUUCUGGACUGUAACUGACGCUGAGGCUCGAACGCUAGGGUAGCGAACGG
Molecule: ribosomal RNA, 250 nt
Filed under: uncultured bacterium
Lineage: Bacteria
Description: partial 16S ribosomal RNA
Rfam family: Bacterial small subunit ribosomal RNA
Source: RNAcentral